This 1271-nucleotide long non-coding RNA is filed under the name Gallus gallus (chicken). The record is from RNAcentral. Lineage: Eukaryota; Metazoa; Chordata; Aves; Galliformes; Phasianidae.
GAGGAACACAAGGAGCGGGCAGGCAGAAAGGCGAGGGAAGCCAUGAUGGAUCCGAGCGCCACAAGCAGGGCCGCGCCUGCCGCCGGACGCCGGACGCAUCUGAUGUGGCACAGAACUGCUGUAGCAAGAUUCUGGAUGAGAAACAAUGGGCUCCUUCUCUAUCUUUUGCUUUACCUCAGCUAACCUUCAGCAGUUUUUUGACUACUCACAAGUUGUCAGCAUAUCUGAAUUAGACGUUCAGAAGGAAGUGAAUCUGCUGAUAACCAAACCAAGCAACAUACAGGAAAAAUGCCUAUUGCAGGAGGACAAGAUUAUGAGAUGAGGACUGCUUUCAGAUUUGGCUGUGAUGGUGCCCAGAUGGUGAAGAAGCACAAAAGAGAUGGACCGAACAGUGGCUUUGGAUGCAGAAGUAGUGGGCAUGUCAAAUUCCACAUCUACGUGGCGGACAAAACUGGAAGGCACUUCUCGGUCAGAGCCAAGCUCUAGGUGACAGAAGAAGCAGUGUGGAUGGCCAGAAGCUGGAAAAAGAGAGCAAACAGACAUGAAAGUUGUCUUUUUGUUGAGAGAAGAUUGCAUGUAGGUAAAAGCAGCAUCAUGAAACAGUAAGAAACUGAGAAUCUGCCUGGGCGAAAUACUUUGAGUCAAAUGUCAGGAUCUUAUCUGUUUUAAUGCCAUUGAAACUCCAUACUCUGGAGUAUCAGUUUGGUUUAAUUAGUAAAUAAAUUAAAUGAACUGCAAAAGAAUGACUGUCAAUCAGUCCAAUUUGCUUUCAGUGUGUGAAAAUUCAAGAUGUAAAUCAACCACCAUAGGUAAAGAUAUUUUCCCUCUUCUCAUUACCUCACUCUAUGUAACAGGCUAAGAACAGUGUGGCAUAUUCUUCUAAAAUAUCGUGUAUUGAUAGUAAGUGAAGGUAGAUUUGACAGAUAUUUCAUAGUUAUUUUUGAUAUGGUUAUCCCCAUUUAUUGUGAAAGCAAACAUACUGGAUAACAUUAAACUUUCCUGGGUUCAGAAAGCAUAUUUGUGCAUAUCUUGGAAGUAACAAUUUAUUCAUCAUUCUAACCCUCCACAAGAUGGCCAAUCAUUAAAGAUGGAAAGGUGAGAAACCAACCAUGUUUAGCUCUGUCAUCAAUAACAACUUUUGCUAUUAUAUUCUUCCAUUUGUUCUGUUGGACAGCAGAAAUGUUAAAAAAAAAAUGAAGUAGGAACUGCUAGUUAAGUUAGAUCUGUUAUAUUUCUGACUGCUGUGAACCCCCUAAGCUCUUGAGCAAGCC